RNAcentral lists this transfer RNA (78 nucleotides) under Escherichia coli TA124. RNAcentral's name for it is "tRNA-Val". It matches the Rfam family "tRNA". From Rfam's summary of the family: Transfer RNA (tRNA) molecules are approximately 80 nucleotides in length. Their secondary structure includes four short double-helical elements and three loops (D, anti-codon, and T loops). Further hydrogen bonds mediate the characteristic L-shaped molecular structure. tRNAs have two regions of fundamental functional importance: the anti-codon, which is responsible for specific mRNA codon recognition, and the 3' end, to which the tRNAs corresponding amino acid is attached (by aminoacyl-tRNA synthetases). tRNAs cope with the degeneracy of the genetic code in two manners: having more than one tRNA (with a specific anti-codon) for a particular amino acid; and 'wobble' base-pairing, i.e. permitting non-standard base-pairing at the 3rd anti-codon position. The record is from RNAcentral. Lineage: Bacteria; Pseudomonadati; Pseudomonadota; Gammaproteobacteria; Enterobacterales; Enterobacteriaceae.
GCGUUCAUAGCUCAGUUGGUUAGAGCACCACCUUGACAUGGUGGGGGUCGUUGGUUCGAGUCCAACUUGAACGCACCA